Molecule: ribosomal RNA, 796 nt
Filed under: Oceanobacillus sp.
Lineage: Bacteria; Bacillati; Bacillota; Bacilli; Caryophanales; Bacillaceae
Description: bacterial SSU rRNA
Rfam family: Bacterial small subunit ribosomal RNA
Source: RNAcentral
GUCGAGCGCAGGAAGCAAGUUGAUCCCCUUCGGGGGUGACGCUUGUGGAAUGAGCGGCGGACGGGUGAGUAACACGUGGGCAACCUGCCUGUAAGACUGGGAUAACCCCGGGAAACCGGGGCUAAUACCGGAUAAUACUUUCUUUUGCAUAAAGGAAAGUUGAAAGGCGGCUUCGGCUGUCACUUACAGAUGGGCCCGCGGCGCAUUAGCUAGUUGGUGAGGUAACGGCUCACCAAGGCGACGAUGCGUAGCCGACCUGAGAGGGUGAUCGGCCACACUGGGACUGAGACACGGCCCAGACUCCUACGGGAGGCAGCAGUAGGGAAUCUUCCGCAAUGGACGAAAGUCUGACGGAGCAACGCCGCGUGAGUGAUGAAGGUUUUCGGAUCGUAAAACUCUGUUGUUAGGGAAGAACAAGUUGGGUAGUAACUGACCCAACCUUGACGGUACCUAACCAGAAAGCCACGGCUAACUACGUGCCAGCAGCCGCGGUAAUACGUAGGUGGCAAGCGUUGUCCGGAAUUAUUGGGCGUAAAGCGCUCGCAGGCGGUCCUUUAAGUCUGAUGUGAAAUCUCGCGGCUCAACCGCGAACGGUCAUUGGAAACUGGAGGACUUGAGUACAGAAGAGGAGAGUGGAAUUCCACGUGUAGCGGUGAAAUGCGUAGAGAUGUGGAGGAACACCAGUGGCGAAGGCGACUCUCUGGUCUGUAACUGACGCUGAGGAGCGAAAGCGUGGGGAGCGAACAGGAUUAGAUACCCUGGUAGUCCACGCCGUAAACGAUGAGUGCUAGGUGGU